RNAcentral lists this long non-coding RNA (1226 nucleotides) under Pogona vitticeps (central bearded dragon). RNAcentral's name for it is "lncRNA (ENSPVIG00000013409.1)". The record is from RNAcentral. Lineage: Eukaryota; Metazoa; Chordata; Lepidosauria; Squamata; Agamidae.
GUUCUGUUCAGAGUCUCAAGGCAGGAAAGCGCUAGCCCUCUAAGGAUUUCUAUGGAUCCUGACCCAUAAAGAUUUCUGAUAUUAAUUUCUAAACAAAAUCAACAGUCAUCCUUAGUGAGAGAUCAUUCCAGUCCCGUCGUGGUGUUCAUAAGAAUAAAGCAGUCAACACCAUUACAAUAUCGUGGCAUCCUUCUUGAUCGAUACAGUCGUGUCUGCUUUUAAGCACGCUGCUCCUAGGGCGAAUCCUUACAGAUCCGUCAGUAAUACAUCCUCCCCCACCUCCGAAAACAGAAGCGUCUGUAAUGCUUUCAAAUAUAUUCAAAUGAGGCAUGCGGUUAGUGGUUUGGCAAAUCUUGAUUGCAAUAUAAACUACCCGAGCAAAAGUGCCUUCGCCCUAAAUUUGCCUUUCGAUUACAAUUCCAGUUGAUUUUAUUUUAUUGUCAACAUUGUUAAUGAUAAAAAUAGAGUCGCUUCGCAGUUAUUUUUACUUUCCGAAAGGAGGCAAUUAGACUUCUAAUCAGGAAUACACAAAAAAGAAAAAAAAUCUCCCAUGAUUAACUGCACUACUUUGUUCAAAUUGCAGCUAUAAAAUUCAGAACAAUUUGCCUGUAAUGAUUAUGGACUGGGUUUAUUUUGGGAGGUGGAAUAAAAGUGGAUAUAGCAUAAAUUAUCCUCUAAUUAUACACCAGUGUCGCCUCAAUUAUCCUCUUAUCAAAAUGGUUGUCUAACUGCCGCAUUUAGUUUCAAUUCUCUCUCAUUUUUUCUAUAAAAAGACCUUCAUACCUUGUUAUUAUUAAUCCAUUUAUUAUUUGCAAGGGGAUUUAUAGCUGAACAUCCAGGUGGUAUCGCCACAUCUCUCGCAAAGAUGGACCGGAGAAAGACAUUAAAUGGGAACCAACACCGCUGUGGAUCUAUUGCGUUCUCUUUUAGGAGAGGAAAUCGGCCUAUGGUGGUUUUUUCCGGGUUUUUUGUUUUUUAAAUCUGGCGUCCACUCAGGGGCAAAAAAGGAUCUUUGGAGAAUUACGGAAGAAGAGUCAGAUCUCAAUAAAUACAAUGACAAUCAGGAAUAUCAUGAUCGUGGACAGGGCCACAUGGAGUCAUGCUGAUGUUUUUGAGCUGCACCUCUCACCAUCGCUCACCGUUGGCUAUGUUAGGUAAGGCUGAUAGGAACUUAGCCCCAAAACAUACAUGGACCACAUUUGCACAACUUUGGGUUAAACUCUUAA